This 450-nucleotide ribosomal RNA is filed under the name uncultured bacterium. RNAcentral describes it as "bacterial SSU rRNA". It matches the Rfam family "Bacterial small subunit ribosomal RNA", at positions 29 to 521 of the family's 1533-position model. The record is from RNAcentral.
AGCGAACGCUGGCGGCAGGCUUAACACAUGCAAGUCGAGCGGGCGUAGCAAUACGUCAGCGGCAGACGGGUGAGUAACGCGUGGGAACAUACCUUUUGGUUCGGAACAACACAGGGAAACUUGUGCUAAUACCGGAUAAGCCCUUACGGGGAAAGAUUUAUCGCCGAAAGAUUGGCCCGCGUCUGAUUAGCUAGUUGGUGAGGUAACGGCUCACCAAGGCGACGAUCAGUAGCUGGUCNGAGAGGAUGAUCAGCCACAUUGGGACUGAGACACGGCCCAAACUCCUACGGGAGGCAGCAGUGGGGAAUAUUGGACAAUGGGCGCAAGCCUGAUCCAGCCAUGCCGCGUGAGUGAUGAAGGCCCUAGGGUUGUAAAGCUCUUUUGUGCGGGAAGAUAAUGACGGUACCGCAAGAAUAAGCCCCCGGCUAACCUCGUGCCAGCAGCCGCUGU